AACGAACGCUGGCGGCAGGCCUAACACAUGCAAGUCGAACGCCCCGCAAGGGAGUGGCAGACGGGUGAGUAACACGUGGGAACGUACCCUUCGGUUCGGGAUAACUCAGGGAAACUUGAGCUAAUACCGGAUACGUCCGAGAGGAGAAAGAUUUAUCGCCGAGGGAUCGGCCCGCGUCUGAUUAGCUUGUUGGUGAGGUAACGGCUCACCAAGGCGACGAUCAGUAGCUGGUCUGAGAGGAUGAUCAGCCACAUUGGGACUGAGACACGGCCCAAACUCCUACGGGAGGCAGCAGUGGGGAAUAUUGGACAAUGGGCGCAAGCCUGAUCCAGCCAUGCCGCGUGAGUGAUGAAGGCCCUAGGGUUGUAAAGCUCUUUUACCCGGGAAGAUAAUGACUGUACCGGGAGAAUAAGCCCCGGCUAACUUCGUGCCAGCAGCAGCCGCGGUAA
Molecule: ribosomal RNA, 449 nt
Filed under: uncultured bacterium
Lineage: Bacteria
Description: bacterial SSU rRNA
Rfam family: Bacterial small subunit ribosomal RNA
Source: RNAcentral